GGGGUCGUAGCCUAGCCUGGUAGGGCGACAGGCUCCAGACCUGUAGAUCGCCGGUUCAACUCCGGUCGGCCCCA
This 74-nucleotide transfer RNA is filed under the name Candidatus Nitrosotenuis chungbukensis. RNAcentral's name for it is "tRNA-Trp". It matches the Rfam family "tRNA". Rfam says of the family: Transfer RNA (tRNA) molecules are approximately 80 nucleotides in length. Their secondary structure includes four short double-helical elements and three loops (D, anti-codon, and T loops). Further hydrogen bonds mediate the characteristic L-shaped molecular structure. tRNAs have two regions of fundamental functional importance: the anti-codon, which is responsible for specific mRNA codon recognition, and the 3' end, to which the tRNAs corresponding amino acid is attached (by aminoacyl-tRNA synthetases). tRNAs cope with the degeneracy of the genetic code in two manners: having more than one tRNA (with a specific anti-codon) for a particular amino acid; and 'wobble' base-pairing, i.e. permitting non-standard base-pairing at the 3rd anti-codon position. Lineage: Archaea; Thermoproteati; Nitrososphaerota. The record is from RNAcentral. RNAcentral also lists the same sequence under 3 other names.